AGAAUCAUGGGCUCUUGUGAAUUUAUCUGAGUCUGGAACUGGGUGAAGCUUGUGUAAUCUCAUUAUGAACCCAAAUCUUGCUCCAAUAAGGUCCACUUAAUAUCAGUAGUUGAUGGAUUAUAUGGUAGUAAUAGGUAUGGGCUCUCUUCUUUGGCUACUAUGGGAUCUUAAGUAAAGCGAAUAAAGAGGAUGAAGAAUCGACAAAUGGUGAGCCUUCGUCUCAUUCAGCCUUCAAAUUGUAUUUUAUUCAUAUAAAUAAAACUGAGCCACAAGAAAACAAUGUAGGUUGCAAGUUCAAGUUGAUUUUUUU
This 310-nucleotide long non-coding RNA is filed under the name Gossypium barbadense (sea-island cotton). RNAcentral describes it as "long non-coding RNA (GBAR_LNC021531)". Lineage: Eukaryota; Viridiplantae; Streptophyta; Magnoliopsida; Malvales; Malvaceae. The record is from RNAcentral.